This 2119-nucleotide ribosomal RNA is filed under the name human gut metagenome. RNAcentral's name for it is "bacterial LSU rRNA". It matches the Rfam family "Bacterial large subunit ribosomal RNA", at positions 1 to 2148 of the family's 2925-position model. The record is from RNAcentral.
GAAAGUAAGUAAGGGCGUAUGGGGGAUGCCUAGGCUCUUGGAGGCUAAGAAGGACGUGGUAAGCUGCGAAAAGCUGCGGGGAUUUGCAAACGAGACUCGAUCCGCAGAUAUCCGAAUGGGACAACCCGGCAGGUAGAAGACCUGUCACACCGCGAGGUGAGCUAACCCUCUGAACUGAAACAUCUAAGUAGGAGGAGGAAAAGAAAGAAACAUCGAUUUCCAAAGUAGCGGCGAGCGAAAUGGAAGAAGCCCAAACCGAUAUUGUUACGGCAAUAUCGGGGUUGUAGGACUGCAAUAUUCAAUUAACAAUGAACUGGAAUGGUCUGGAAAGUCCAUCCAUAGAGAGUGAAAGGCUCGUACAGGUAAGUUUGUUAUGCGAUAGCAGUAUCCUGAGUAUGGCGGGACACGAGGAAUCCUGUCAGAAUCAGCCGGGACCACCCGGUAAGGCUAAAUACUCCCAAGAGACCGAUAGUGGACCAGUACUGUGAAGGAAAGGUGAAAAGAACCCCGAACAGGGGAGUGAAAUAGAACCUGAAACCAUACGCUUACAACCGGUCGGAGCAGCUUCGUGCUGUGACGGCGUGCCUAUUGAAUAAUGAGCCUACGAGUUACUAAUCACUGGCGAGGUUAAGUGCACGGAUGCACGGAGCCGAAGCGAAAGCGAGUCUGAACAGGGCGGCUAGUCAGUGGUUGUAGACGCGAAACCUUGCGAUCUACCCUUGAGCAGGUUGAAGGUUGGGUAAAACCAACUGGAGGACCGAACGAAUAAGCGUUGAAAAGCUUCUCGAUGACUUGAGGGUAGGGGUGAAAGGCUAAUCAAGCUGGGAAAUAGCUCGUACUCCCCGAAAUGCCUUUAGGGGCAGCGUUGUAAUAAAGAGUCUACUGGAGGUAGAGCUACUGAUUGGAUGCGGGGGCUUCACCGCCUACCAAAUCCUGACAAACUCCGAAUGCCAGUAGUAUGAUUUACAGCAGUGAGCGACCGGGUGCUAAUGUCCGGUUACGAGAGUGGAACAACACAGACCAGCAACUAAGGUCCCCAAGAGUAUACUAAGUUGAUCUAACGAUGUUUUGUUGCAGAGACAGCUAGGAUGUUAGCUUGGAAGCAGCUAUUCAUUCAAAGAGUGCGUAACAGCUCACUAGUCGAGCGACAAAGCGUGGAUAAUAAACGGGCAUCAAGUAUACCACCGAAGUUCUGGGCACGAAAGUGCGGUAGGGGAGCAUUCCAUUGACGUCGAAGCCAUUCCGCGAGGAUAGGUGGAGUUUAUGGAAAAGCAAAUGUAGGCAUGAGUAACGAUAAUGCGGGAGAGUAACCCGCACACCGCAAGACCAAGGUUUCCUGAUCAACGCUAAUCGGAUCAGGGUUAGUCGGGUCCUAAGGGUAAGCCGAACGGUGAUCUCGAUGGACAAUCGGUUAAUAUUCCGAUACUAACAUAUACCUCGAUGGAGAGACGAAGGAACGUAAGUGCCGCCACCUGACGGAAUAGGUGGUUAAAGGGCGUAGGUAUAGGGGCAGAUUAAGAGUUAGUCCUUGCUGAAACCUGACAGUACAGAGAGCCUACGGGCAAUUUGAUAGAGCACCCAAGUCGACUUCCGAGAAAAUCUUCUAAGUUAUAGUAUAUGUUACCCGUACCGUAAACCGACACAGGUGGUCGAGGAGAGUAUCCUAAGGUGCUCGAGUGAAUCACGGUUAAGGAACUAGGCAAAUUAACCCCGUAACUUCGGGAAAAGGGGUCCCUACGCGAGUAGGGCGCAGCGAAGAGGUCCAGGCGACUGUUUAUCAAAAACACAGGGCUCUGCAAAUUCGAAAGAAGACGUAUAGGGCCUGACACCUGCCCGGUGCUGGAAGGUUAAGAGGGGAUGUCAUCGCAAGAGAAGCAUUGAAUCGAAGCCCCAGUAAACGGCGGCCGUAACUAUAACGGUCCUAAGGUAGCGAAAUUCCUUGUCGGGUAAGUUCCGACCUGCACGAAUGGUGUAACGAUCUGGACACUGUCUCAACCGUGAGCUCGGUGAAAUUGUAGUCCCGGUGAAGAUGCCGGGUACCCGCAACGGGACGAAAAGACCCCGUGAACCUUUACUAUAGCUUAACGCUGAAUUUGGGUACACAAUGUGUAGGAUAGGC